GGUUAAGCGACUAAGCGUACACGGUGGAUGCCCUGGCAGUCAGAGGCGAUGAAGGACGUGCUAAUCUGCGAAAAGCGUCGGUAAGGUGAUAUGAACCGUUAUAACCGGCGAUGUCCGAAUGGGGAAACCCAGUGUGUUUCGACACACUAUCAUUAACUGAAUCCAUAGGUUAAUGAGGCGAACCGGGGGAACUGAAACAUCUAAGUACCCCGAGGAAAAGAAAUCAACCGAGAUUCCCCCAGUAGCGGCGAGCGAACGGGGAGGAGCCCAGAGCCUGAAUCAGUGUGUGUGUUAGUGGAAGCGUCUGGAAAGGCGUGCGAUACAGGGUGACAGCCCCGUACACAAAAAUGCACAUGCUGUGAGCUCGAUGAGUAGGGCGGGACACGUGGUAUCCUGUCUGAAUAUGGGGGGACCAUCCUCCAAGGCUAAAUACUCCUGACUGACCGAUAGUGAACCAGUACCGUGAGGGAAAGGCGAAAAGAACCCCGGCGAGGGGAGUGAAAAAGAACCUGAAACCGUGUACGUACAAGCAGUGGGAGCCCCACCACCAAAGCGUUUCGCUUUGCGUGGUGCGCAAAAUGCGUAACGACAGCACAAUUCACGGUUAACGGAGCGUAAGCGACGUUCAACACAAGAAUCAAGCAGUGGAGCGUUUUGGGGUGGGGUGACUGCGUACCUUUUGUAUAAUGGGUCAGCGACUUAUAUUCUGUAGCAAGGUUAACCGAAUAGGGGAGCCGAAGGGAAACCGAGUCUUAACUGGGCGUUAAGUUGCAGGGUAUAGACCCGAAACCCGGUGAUCUAGCCAUGGGCAGGUUGAAGGUUGGGUAACACUAACUGGAGGACCGAACCGACUAAUGUUGAAAAAUUAGCGGAUGACUUGUGGCUGGGGGUGAAAGGCCAAUCAAACCGGGAGAUAGCUGGUUCUCCCCGAAAGCUAUUUAGGUAGCGCCUCGUGAAUUCAUCUCCGGGGGUAGAGCACUGUUUCGGCAAGGGGGUCAUCCCGACUUACCAACCCGAUGCAAACUGCGAAUACCGGAGAAUGUUAUCACGGGAGACACACGGCGGGUGCUAACGUCCGUCGUGAAGAGGGAAACAACCCAGACCGCCAGCUAAGGUCCCAAAGUCAUGGUUAAGUGGGAAACGAUGUGGGAAGGCCCAGACAGCCAGGAUGUUGGCUUAGAAGCAGCCAUCAUUUAAAGAAAGCGUAAUAGCUCACUGGUCGAGUCGGCCUGCGCGGAAGAUGUAACGGGGCUAAACCAUGCACCGAAGCUGCGGCAGCGACGCUGAUGCGUUGUUGGGUAGGGGAGCGUUCUGUAAGCCUGUGAAGGUGUGCUGUGAGGCAUGCUGGAGGUAUCAGAAGUGCGAAUGCUGACAUAAGUAACGAUAAAGCGGGUGAAAAGCCCGCUCGCCGGAAGACCAAGGGUUCCUGUCCAACGUUAAUCGGGGCAGGGUGAGUCGACCCCUAAGGCGAGGCCGAAAGGCGUAGUCGAUGGGAAACAGGUUAAUAUUCCUGUACUUGGUGUUACUGCGAAGGGGGGACGGAGAAGGCUAUGUUGGCCGGGCGACGGUUGUCCCGGUUUAAGCGUGUAGGCUGGUUUUCCAGGCAAAUCCGGAGAAUCAAGGCUGAGGCGUGAUGACGAGGCACUACGGUGCUGAAGCAACAAAUGCCCUGCUUCCAGGAAAAGCCUCUAAGCAUCAGGUAACAUCAAAUCGUACCCCAAACCGACACAGGUGGUCAGGUAGAGAAUACCAAGGCGCUUGAGAGAACUCGGGUGAAGGAACUAGGCAAAAUGGUGCCGUAACUUCGGGAGAAGGCACGCUGAUAUGUAGGUGAAGCGACUUGCUCGUGGAGCUGAAAUCAGUCGAAGAUACCAGCUGGCUGCAACUGUUUAUUAAAAACACAGCACUGUGCAAACACGAAAGUGGACGUAUACGGUGUGACGCCUGCCCGGUGCCGGAAGGUUAAUUGAUGGGGUCAGCGCAAGCGAAGCUCUUGAUCGAAGCCCCGGUAAACGGCGGCCGUAACUAUAACGGUCCUAAGGUAGCGAAAUUCCUUGUCGGGUAAGUUCCGACCUGCACGAAUGGCGUAAUGAUGGCCAGGCUGUCUCCACCCGAGACUCAGUGAAAUUGAACUCGCUGUGAAGAUGCAGUGUACCCGCGGCAAGACGGAAAGACCCCGUGAACCUUUACUAUAGCUUGACACUGAACACUGGUCCUUGAUGUGUAGGAUAGGUGGGAGGCUUUGAAGUGUGGACGCCAGUCUGCAUGGAGCCGUCCUUGAAAUACCACCCUUUAAUGGCUGGUGUUCUAACGUAGGCCCCUUAUCGGGGUUGCGGACAGUGUCUGGUGGGUAGUUUGACUGGGGCGGUCUCCUCCUAAAGAGUAACGGAGGAGCACGAAGGUUGGCUAAUCCUGGUCGGACAUCAGGAGGUUAGUGCAAUGGCAUAAGCCAGCUUGACUGCGAGCGUGACGGCGCGAGCAGGUGCGAAAGCAGGUCAUAGUGAUCCGGUGGUUCUGAAUGGAAGGGCCAUCGCUCAACGGAUAAAAGGUACUCCGGGGAUAACAGGCUGAUACCGCCCAAGAGUUCAUAUCGACGGCGGUGUUUGGCACCUCGAUGUCGGCUCAUCACAUCCUGGGGCUGAAGUAGGUCCCAAGGGUAUGGCUGUUCGCCAUUUAAAGUGGUACGCGAGCUGGGUUUAGAACGUCGUGAGACAGUUCGGUCCCUAUCUGCCGUGGGCGCUGGAGAACUGAGGGGGGCUGCUCCUAGUACGAGAGGACCGGAGUGGACGCAUCACUGGUGUUCGGGUUGUCAUGCCAAUGGCACUGCCCGGUAGCUAAAUGCGGAAGAGAUAAGUGCUGAAAGCAUCUAAGCACGAAACUUGCCCCGAGAUGAGUUCUCCCUGACCCUUUAAGGGUCCUGAAGGAACGUUGAAGACGACGACGUUGAUAGGCCGGGUGUGUAAGCGCAGCGAUGCGUUGAGCUAACCGGUACUAAUGAACCGUGAGGCUUAACCUU
RNAcentral lists this ribosomal RNA (3016 nucleotides) under Escherichia albertii. RNAcentral's name for it is "23S ribosomal RNA". It matches the Rfam family "Bacterial large subunit ribosomal RNA". The record is from RNAcentral. Lineage: Bacteria; Pseudomonadati; Pseudomonadota; Gammaproteobacteria; Enterobacterales; Enterobacteriaceae.